Molecule: long non-coding RNA, 2227 nt
Organism: Myotis daubentonii (Daubenton's bat)
Lineage: Eukaryota; Metazoa; Chordata; Mammalia; Chiroptera; Vespertilionidae
Exons: 2
Source: RefSeq, a predicted model, not a curated record
UAGUUAAGUUACAGGGCUGGACACAUCAAAAUAGGAAUGGCCUAGCUCUAGCAACGUGGCUCAGUUGGUUAAAGAAUCAUUCAUCCCAUACACCAGAAGGUUGCAGGUUUGAUUCCCAGUCAGGGCAUAUGCCUAGGUUAUGAGUCUGAUCUCCAAUUGGGGUGUGUACAGGAGGCAAACAAUAGAUGUUUCUCUCUCACAUUGAUAUUUCUCUCUCCCUCCCCCAUUCUCCUCCCCCAAAAUAAAAAACCAUAUCCUCAUGAGGAUUAAGAAAGAAAGGCCUUGCUAGGUUCCUCCGUCUAUCAAACAUUAAUUUAAAUUAAACUAUAAUUUUAUCUCCCUCUGGUAGCAGGCCCUCUAUCUAAAUUAUUUGCACACGCACACGCACACGCACGCACGCACACACACACAAGACAAAAACUGGAAUGGUCUGUAUAUGUAACUGCUCAGAAAAGACUGUCAAGUAGAGGUCCCAAUGGGCUUCUCUUCUCAAAAGAUCACAGAUUUAAGUGGCAUAUGAAUUACUUUUCUACAGGUAUUGAGGUCUUAGAAACUUUUAGACUUAAUCUAGAAGCAUCUCCUUAAAAUCUUGACUAGGCUCUUAAUUUGGCUCACAUUUUCUUAAAUUUUAGUUCAUUCUUGUUUUUUAAUGGACACAAUUUUUAGAGCACUUUCAGGCUCACUGUGACAUUGAGCAGAAAGUACAAGAGUUCUUCCAUAUAACCCCUGCCCCCACACAUGCACAGCCUCCCCCACCUCUUCUACCAACGUGGUACAGUUAAUGAACCUAUCGUCCAUGUUUGUUAGUUCACCUUGGUGUUGUACAUUCUGUGGGUUUUGAUAAAUGUAUGACACAUACCCACCAUCAUAGUAUCACACAGAAUAGUUUCACUGCCCCUGGGCUCCACUUAUUCAUCCCUCUCCCCCCACUAAACCCUGAAAACCUUUUUGUUUCCAUAUUUUUGCCUUUUCCGGGAUUUCACAUAGUUGGAAUCAUAUAGUAUGUAGCCUUUUCAGAUGGUCUUCUUUUACUUACUGAUAUGCAUUUAAAUAUCCUCCAUGUCUUUUCCUGGCUUUAUAGCUCAUUUCUUUUUAAUGCUGGAUCAUUCCAUUGUCUAGAUGCCUCACAGUUUACCCAUUCUUUUUCAGAAGAAUUCUAAGACAUUUAUUUUGGCAACACAUAACAGGAACGUCACAGACAGUAGCUAACACAAGUAAGGUGUUUAUUAUUCAUGUAACCAAGUAUAUAGGUAGGCAGUUUAGGCAGGAAUAGCCUCUCUCAUCCACCAUAGUUAGAAUCUGACUUGGGUCUUCAUGUCUGCAAGAUGGUAACUCCAAUUCCAGGUGUAGGAGAUCUAUAUUUUAAGCAGAAAGUAAGGUCAGUUUUGGACAGGAGACAAAAAAGGUGGCAAAGGUCAAAAUAAAGGAAUAUGUGCUUAGUGAGUGUGCCCCCUUUAACAGCCUUUGAUGAGAGCCUCACCCAACCCAUUAUUUUUUUGUUAAUCCUCACCCGAGGAUAUUUUUCUUUUCUUUUUAUAUUUUAUUGAUUUUUUACAGAGAGGAAGGGAGAGGGAUAGAGAGUUAGAAACAUCGAUGAGAGAGAAACAUCGAUCAGCUGCCUCCGGCACACCCCCUACUGGGGAUGUGCCCGCAACCAAGGUACAUGCCCUUGACCGGAAUCAAACCUGGGACCCUCAGUCCGCCGGCUGACGCUCCAUCCAGUGAGCCAAACCAGCUAGGGCAAGGAUAUUUUUCCAUUGACUUUUGGAGAGAGUGGAAGGGAGGGGGAGAGACAGUGUCACAUGGACUGGUUGCCUCCCACACGCACCCCAACCGGGCCCGGGGAUUGAACCUGAAACCCAGGUAAGCGCCCUUGACCAGGAAUUAAACCCAAGACCCUUCCAUGUGUGGGCCAACAUGCUACCCACUGAGCAAUACCAGCCAGGGCCCAACCAAUAAUUUGCAUGUGACUGACCAGCAUUUAUGGCUACAUGGAAUCCUGGGAAGCCAGCUCAUCUCAGUUUGUUCACAUGGAUAACAGAUCCAGAUAGCCUGCAAGUAGGUCGACCAGCCUUCCUGGUUUGCAUGAUACAUGGAGCGAUUCCUGGGAUGCUGGGCAAACGAAAUGAGUUGGUUACCUUCUUAGUGAGAUAGUUUCUGCCCUUUUGCAGCCAUCAUUGAAGCAGCAGCAUCCAGAAAUGAAGUUUAAUUCCUUUGUGACUUCUGA